This 253-nucleotide ribosomal RNA is filed under the name uncultured prokaryote. RNAcentral describes it as "partial 16S ribosomal RNA". It matches the Rfam family "Bacterial small subunit ribosomal RNA", at positions 524 to 776 of the family's 1533-position model. The record is from RNAcentral.
UACAGAGGGUGCGAGCGUUGUCCGGAAUCACUGGGCGUAAAGGGCGCGUAGGCGGCUUGGUAAGCGUGCGGUGAAAGCCCGGGGCUCAACCCCGGGUCGGCCGUGCGAACUGCUGGGCUGGAGCACUGUAGAGGCAGGUGGAAUUCCGGGUGUAGCGGUGGAAUGCGUAGAGAUCCGGAAGAACACCGGUGGCGAAGGCGGCCUGCUGGGCAGUAGCUGACGCUGAUGCGCGACAGCGUGGGGAGCAAACAGG